AAUCAAAAAUAAUUAUUAAUUUUUCCUCUUACAAAAAGCGGUGGUGGUGGUGGCGGGAACCCAAUAUCCACAGACGUUUUCUUCUAAUUAGCUCUUUGAAUCAGAGAAUACUAUUUCUUUGCACUUCAUAAAUUCUGGAACUGCUAUUCAUUUCUCCAUAGUGUUAAAGACAGCCCAGGAAAAUAAGCAAUUCUUGGCCAUUUGGCAAAGCAAUCAGCUACCUCUUAAUACUAAACAAAAAAGGUAUUUGAAUUGAAACACUGUAAGCCACAGUAUGCACAACUUACAUUUAAUGUACACGCAUUUGUGCUGUGUAACUAUUCAAAGGAAAUUCCAGCUGCUCCCAUCCUAAAAUCCCAUUAAAAAGCCAGAAUUUACAUAGAUGGCUUUCUAAAAGGCAACCAAGAAAUUAAGGAGCUUCUGACAGCCAUUUACGUGCUUUUAACAUCAGGAGCUUCAACUGCUAUCUUGCCAGAAGUUCCAGGGCUGGACCUGGGUGGCAAUCCCCUCCACUGAAGCCAAAUGGCCUCCAGCAGAAGACAGAUUAACCUGGCCGGAAUAGAUGUGCUUCCACAGCACAUGCAUGGUGUCCAGAAGUUUCCAAAGACUUGCAAAGUAGAUUUUUAUUAUUAUCUGUUAUUUUUAUUAUCUGUUAUUAUUAUUACAGAUUAUUACAGUGGAGAAAUCCAGCAUGCGUUACCAUCAGAUACCAACAGCACAGAUAAGCAGGAAUCCUUUCCUAUGUAAACUCUGCCACCUUACUCCUCCUCCUUUUCAUUGUUCAAAAAAUUAAUGAAUGUGUAUGUAAUUAAUACCUAUGUAUGCAAAUACAUAUAUCUUCUCCCCACAAAUCUGUUUAUAGCUUUCAGACCUUGGCAGGUAUAAAAAUGGUGCAACCUAUUUACAGUUCACAGGAAAGAGUCUUACCAAGGUAAUUUUGUUUUGUUAUACAAAGUAUACGUCAUAUUUGGGACCAAUGACUUAAUGUCUAACAUUCCAGUGUUUCCAUGGAAGGGCUUUUGGCAGUUUUUUCAAGUACAAAGCUGAAACUGUUACAUUAUGAAUGUAAAUAGUACAAAGAGUUAGUCAUGUUACACUUCUUCAAACACAAACAGAUGACAUAAUACCAAGAAAAUUUGCCUGGAAGACAAAACAAUCAGCAUAUGAUCACAGAAUUAAAAGAAGACAUAUAAACAAUAUAAAUCUAAUUAUGAUCAGAUGAGUAUUUUUUGAAAACUUCUUAGAUUUAUAAUAAGGCCUUUUCUGACAGUCUGAGGAUUUUCACAGAUACUGAGUUGCCUUCCGUUUUCAUGGAGAUUGACCUGAAAUAAGCGAUGCACUGAAGACAAAAAGUCCCUGAGAACACUCAGGUUCUAAUAUCCAGCCUAGAGAUUACGCAAAGCCAAAUGGAGGUGUGUAUAAAACUUGAACGUUUUGCACGUUUUAUGUUUUAUGGUCUUCCAUGGCAGAGGCAGAGGCCCCCUUAUCUACUCUCCAAUUCCAGUUUGAACCACAGAAUGGCUGAAGUGGGAGGAGAGUUCUAGAGGUCACUAGGAUCAAUCUCCUGCCCAAGCAGAGGCCACUAGAGCACAUUUCCCAGGACUGUGUCCAGACAGCUUUUGAAUACCUCCAGGAGAGACUCCUCAACCCAUCUGGGCAACCUGUUCCAGUGCUCUGUCACCCUCCAAGAAAAGAAAGUUUUCCUCAAAUUCAUAUGGAACUUCCUGUGUUUCAGUUUGUGCCCACUGCCUCUCAUCACUUGGGCACCACUGAGAAGAGUAUGGUUCUAUCCUGACACCUCCCUUCAGAUACUUAUGCACGUUGAUGAGAUCCUCUGCGUCUUCUCUCUUCCAGGCUGAUCAGGCCCAGCUCCCUCAGCCUCUCCUCAUGUGAGAUGUCCCUUCAGCAUUUUAGUAGCCCUUCACUGAACACGCUCCAGGAGCUUCAAGUCUCUUCUGUAUUGGGGACCCCAGAAUUGGACACUACUCCAGGUGAUGCCUCACCAGGGCUGACCAGAGGGGAAGGAUCAUCUCCCUGUACCUGCUGGCAGUGUUCUUCCUAAGGCAACCCAGGUCACCAUUGGCCUUCUUGGUCAAUAGGGUACACUGCUGGCUAAUGUUCAACUUGUUCGUUGCCAAAAUCCCCUGGUCCUUCUCUGCUGAGCUACUUUCCCACAGGUCAGCCCCCAGCUUGUACCAGUGCAUAGGAUUAUUCUUCCACAGGUGCAGGAACUCAUACUCGCCUUAGCUGAAUUUCACAAGGUUCUUCUCUGUUCACCUCUCUCUCAGAGAUGGCCUCCAGGAUGAGCUGUUCCAACACUUUUCAAGGGAUGGAGAUGAGGCUGAUCGGCCUGUAGUUUCCCAGGCCCUCCUCCUUGCCCUUUUUGAAGACUGUGGUGGCAUUUGCUUACUUCCUCAGUCACCUCUCCUGAUCUCCAUGACUUUUCAAAGAUGAUCAAGAAUGGUCCAGCAAUGACAUUCAACAGCUCCCUCAGCACUCAUGGGUGCAUCCCAGCAGGGCCCAUUGACUUGUGAGUGCCAUGUUUGCCAAUCCAACUCAGUCCUCCUCAACCAAGGGAAAGCCUUCUUUUCUCCAGACUUUCUCCCUGGUCUCCUGGGUCAAGGAUUCCUAAGGGCUGGCCUUGAAGACUGAAGCAAAGAAAGCAUUCAGUAUCUCUAUUCGCUCUAUUCAUCAGGAUGAUUUUGAUUUGUUUGUUGGUUUUUAUUUUUGCUUUUUUUCAGACCCAAUAUAUUCAUGACUUUCCCAAAGAGGAAAAUACUUUGUUCUCAAUGGAACUAUAGCAUUUUACUCAUUUUCAGCAAAUAUACUGUCUCAUACAUCAGUAACUUUACAGCCAUAAAUAGCUACCACAAAAGGUUGCAGGUACUAAUUUAACAGUUAGACAAAUAAAGCCCAAAACAUUAAGAGCAGAAUAAUUUUACUGUGUUACAUACCAAAAUGUGAUAUAUAUAUCAAAAUUAUUCAUAUUCAGUUCAAAUACAUUCAAAUAAUGGUUGGGUUUUCAUAUUUCAAGAUGUCAUAAUUAAUAGCCAGACCUAACCAAGUGUGUGAAAGUGAAAAAUGACAAAAAACACAGAUGCAAAUGUUCACAAGGUCGUAGAAGGUCCAUUAACCAAUGGGCACAUCAGGUCCACUGAUUAAAUAGCCAGAAACUGCAGAAGAUCAAAUCUAAUGCUUAUUCUCUGUUUUCAACAGACAAUUGAAAAAAAAAUUAACAUCUUUCUAAACUUCCCCUUCAUGGUCAUUUCAGAUAAAGAAUAUUUUCUCCUUUAAAGACAGGUGAUGAUGACAGAAAGCCAGGACCAGUAGCCACUGUCUGGUAACCCUCUCCUGGUCUGCAGACAGCUUUUUUUCCUUUAAUUCAUCCAUGCCUACAAGAGUCAAUUCCACUUGAGAUAUCUGCCCUUUGUGGAAGAGUACAUGACCUUUUUAUGGAAAUCCAGCCAUAUAUAUGAGCAAAGGUUGAUGUGAGAGCAUCAUGUGCCACAGUAAUUUGGCUGAUCAAGUUUCUCACUUUUUGGUAAAUCUACUGAUAAACCAUUGAGGCUACUCAGUUUUCAAGUUCUGCUACAUGAUCAUUCACAGCUGUGAGAUAGCAUUACCAACUUCUAACACAUUUUUCCAGAUAAGUUAGCAGCUUCAUCUUAUAAGAAACGUUCUGUUUCCCAUGAAUCCAUCACUGUCUUUUAACCAUUUCAAGGCUUUUGGCAGUUCUGUACAGCCACAAUACAUUGCAGCAAAAACUUAGUGGAAGUUCUAGUACAAAGAGAUAGUUUCACAGAUAAUUCUUCUGGUACUUUGCAUUUCUCUCAUUAGCUGGGAAGUAGUUAAACUACAUGAUUAUGUUGUUAGCUAAUGGUUUGUUUUUUCUUGCCAACAUACCUCAAUACUUGCCACCUUACUGCCUCCAGUAUCAACUGCUGAUAAAAACCUGCAGUUUUUUUCCGUACACACAAUUAAUUAUCACUCGUUCAAGCCACUUUAUGUUAGAGUAACUGCUUUUCUAUGCAAUUCUUUGCAUAUUUUUCCCCUCAAGCCAUCAGUAACCUUCAGCUUGCUUUGAGCCAAGUGCUUUGCAACCUGCCCUCAGGUAACUGACAUUGCUUGGAAGUUCAGUUACAGAAAUACAAGUUACAAAAGAUCUGCAAAUUUUAACCUACCCUUGUUUCUAUCUGCAGUUACCAUCAACUCCCUUUGACAACUUCCCUCCUACCACUGUUGAGCACGUGAAACCUUUGACACACUUGGAAAUGACAGUUCAGUGUUACCUGUCCUCCUUCCUGGAGCUCAGAUCUAGUACUCAUACCCACUCACAGUCCUAACCUGAUUUUACUCGUUCCAUUCCUUUCAAGAAGUGCUGGCCCUCCCACUCACACUCCUUUAAGUUUUCAACAUCUAACAACAUGAACAUGUCCACAAACUUCUUCAGAGACAAUGGAGGGGUUACAAAGCCACCUGCCCUUGAUCAGUUUGAAAUACUCCUCCUCUCCAAGGUCAGCGCAAUGAUGCUGUGGUAGCCAUGCUCUAGCAAACCAGAGGCAGGUGCUGCUUCAGCCAGAGAGUUUGGUAAUCUUCCUAUGAAAACUGAAAGGAACUUUUCUUUUGCUUUGGUUUCUAGCCAGAAAAUUUCCUAAACCAAAAGCAGAAAGAGUUUUGUUUUCUGCCCUGAAGCUGCCAAGACCGUGACACAUAUUUUGGUUGAGGUUCUUAUUUUAAGCUUGAAUUUCUUUUGAAUUAUUCUUUAACUCAAGUAAUUUAAUCUUACAGUUAAACGAUUACCACAUUGUUCAUAAUUUUAGUGUUUUCAUCAGCACAUUACAUUUUUUCAUUCAAAAGUCACCUUGGCCUGCCUAUGGAAACCUGUGUUUGGUAGUACCUUAUCACUACCAAGUUGCCAGUUCUGAAUUUCACAUGCCCUGAUCAGGUUGACGCACUGCAAUAGAUGUCCUGCCCAAAUUAAAGCACACUCCACAUCAGUGCUGCUUUUGAGGAAUUUUAGAUAAAUUUUUCUCUAUUCACUAUAGAGGAUGUGCAGACUACAAUUUUUUGACAGUUUAUACCUUAACAUAUCUGCAGUCCAUUUUUAUUUUGUCCAAAGGCAUAUCCCUGAUACAAUGAUCACACUGCAGUCAAACUUCAGUCUCCUCCAAUUUCAGUUAAAUUUGAGCUUGGAUUUUGCCCUGAUCAAUAUCAGCAAUAAAUAUGUUGAUCAAAUAGCUCAAGUACUGAACCACCUAGCCAAAGGAUCAGCAAGAAUAAGAAUAGGAAUAAGAAUAAGAAUAGGAAUAAGAAUAAGAAUAGGAAUAAGAAUAAGAAUAGGAAUAAGAAUAGGAAUAGGAAUAAGAAUAGGAAUAAGAAUAAGAAUAAGAAUAAGAAUAAGAAUAAGAAUAAGAAUAAGAAUAAGAAUAAGAAUAAGAAUAAGAAUAAGAAUAAGAAGGGAUAUCUUAUAUUUACAAUCAAACCGAAAGACUUAAAUUUGACAGGCUAUAAAUUCACAUCUUGAGGACAAUCUGACUGGGCUUUUAGCACCUUCCGUUGCUUCUGGUGUACUGCUAAUUAAAAACUGAAGUCAAUUAUUUUCAAAUAGGUCACUAGCAUUUAAAAGGCAUUAAGAUCAUACAAUCAUAGAAUGGUUUGGGUUGGAAGGGACCUCUAAUAUCAUUUAGUUCCAAGCCCUUGCUAUAGGCAGGGAUAUCUCCCUCUAGACCAGGUUGCUCAAAGCUCCAUCCAGCCUGGCCUUGAUGUCUGUGUUUCCUAUAAACUGAUAACUAUUAGUGUCCCAAGAAUAUCAGAAUUUACCUGCAUAUGACCCAAUGUAUAGAAAUGCCCCUGUAAAGGUUAAAACUGACUCUCAUGUAUGCCUUUUCAAAUCCCCUGUUUUCUUGUGCAGUACCUGUUGAUCCAGGUGGGCACACCAGGAGCACAGACCUCAUUUUCAAUAGCCUUUUUAAGGGUCUGCACAGACAGAUGGCAACAGAAGAACAAUCAGAAUUGCCACGUCGCAUAAGGCACAUACUUUGCUACCAGUUCUACAAACAACUCAGGGGCUAAUUUACCAAGAAGGAGCUGGGCAUCACUGAGUGAGAUGGAACUGUGCAAAAAGAAAGCAGCUGCCCAGCACAGAGCAUUGCUCAUCCCAAUGGCACAGCAUUCAACCCACAGUGAAGCUGCACUGAUGUGUGCCAGCAGAAGGUGACCGCAUUUGCCUGAUCUUCUGCCAUCCUCUGUUCUUCUGGGAGACAACCACUAACUCCGACUUGUUCUCCUGGGACAGCUGGAACUCUGCAAGGACCAAGAUGCCUGAGCAAGACUCCUCUGUGCACAGUUCACAUCCUAGAGGCCGGAGUAAAUUAAAUAUAACCAUGCAGCUACGGCCUAUUUGUGCCAUUAUGUGUUUGUUUUUUUUCCCUACAGAUGAAAUAGUUCAUUUUCCAACAAAAUAAAAGUACACCUAAAACACAUUUUAAAAUAUUUUAUGAGGGUGGAGAGCGUACAGAAAUUGACUUCACUCAAAACUCUGUAUAAAAGAAAAAGCUAGUGGAAAUGUGCUGCUCAAAAAAAAAAAAAAAAAUCAACAACACAGUAACUUAAUAUUCUUGAUACCGUUACGAUUUUCAUACAAAUUUCCUUUUCACCCUCAACCCAUAAAGACGUACUUGCAGUAUUUCAACUACAGGCUGCCAUAAUCGGACUUGUCCCCAGUGCCACUUCAUUCCAAAACAAAGAUCCCUCGCAAGCCCCUCUGGCUGCUUUCCAGACAAGAUGGGUGAGAAGUUCCUUUAAAAAAACCACCAACCAAAUCAACACACACCCACACACCAAAGCUCGCUGCUCCCAUUCUGGAUAAAUUUGCAUUGUCAAUAGAUAAAUUAUUUCAGCUUAAUUUUGAGACCACGGUUUAUGUACAAUAGUAACACUGCAUAGCUGCUAAAGAAGGCUCAAUUCAAGACGGGGAUUUUGGACUGCCAUCUCAUUGCCUUUGUGAUCAGUUGGUCUAAUUCCACCAAAAAGUCAAAUUCCACUGAUAGCCACAAGUUGGUUUAGUGCCCACCAUCCUGCCACACAGCUCUGUUGCAUUUCACAAGCUAUUUUUCCAUUCUGGCUUUGUGGCCACCUCUUCCACUUUCUGAAAUAGACGCAAGCAUGCUAUGUGUUACGGACCGCCACUAAAGCUGCCAUCUGGUGAGAAAACAAAAGUCACAGGAUUUUUUUAAAACAAGGCUUUACCAUUUUUGACUCACCACUGAACAAAUACGCAGCUCAACAGGGAAGAGGAAGGAGGAAUCAAUAUAUUUCAGCCUAGUGUUAUUCAUGGAAAGUGUUAAAGCAUACCUAUUAAUAACAAUGAAAUGAAUAUAUUUGACAUGAUACACAUUCAUCCAAAAUAAGAGAUCAAUACCUGCAAGACUAUUUUCAGGCACAGCCUGAGCAGCAGGCUAUGUUCUAGAGACAACAAUAAGCCUAUCCAUUUUUCUGAACAAGAAAGAAAUCAGGAGCAGAGUUGACAGAAAACAGAAUAGCAGCAAUAAGAAACACUGAACUUAUUACCGAGAUAACAACAUACAAGUAAAAAAUAUUUAAAUUGAAUCUCUGUGAGGACAAAGGUUUUGGUUUGUUCUUACUACUUCAUACAGUAUUUGCAGUUUGAGUUAUUUUAGCAGCAUUCUUUAUGUAAGAAAGAUCUCAUUUUUGCCAUUCCAAAACUGCGUUCUCACCAGAACGAAAGAGCACGUUGCAUAGACUGAAUUUCCAUUUAGCCAGAAACCUCUAUUCAUACAGGAGUACAAAGAGAUAAGACAUUCUUGUAAUGAUGCUUGGAAAUAAUCUGCCCUGAAUUUCAAUGUAUCAUUACAUUCUGGAGUAUACUUUGCAUUUAAUUACUUGCUUCACCGGCGGUUGCUCAUUAUACAUAAACCAUGUUAAUUUAAUCACUCUAAGCAUUUGUAAACUGCUGCUCCCUAACAACACCUAAGAUGUAGCAUUUUAAGGUCACUGUACCUGCUCUCUCCAAUAUAUCAGUGUGACCGUAGUAUUUGUUUUCAACCUAGCUAGGACAAAGUCCACAUCUUCAACAUUUGUCUGAAUACAGAAAGUGUCCAGAAUACUUAUUUUCUAAAUACUAAAAUAAGAAUCCAAAUAUCUGCUGUACAAAUGCACAAUAUUGUGCUAGGCAGCAAGAACUGGAGUCAGCAAGAAGUUUCCAUCAUUUCACUCUUACUGCGGACACACGUUAUCUGGCUCAAUCUAAUUUAUCUACAAGAAGUGUAGAACACAAUCUGAGAUGUUCGUCCAUCAGCACACAUCCAGAUGAAUGCCAGGAACUUUCACUUGUGCACAGGCUUAGACAUGUACUUGUACACACUUAUAACCACACACCACAUUUAAAAUCUAGCACUCAGCCAGGCACCCGUUGUGUCCCAUAUAGAACAAGCAUCAAUUUGUGACAUCUGAAAUCCUGCAAUAACUGACACAUGAAGUUUAAGUGUUAUUCAAAUUGGAGAGAGGGAUGUCAAUAAGAUUAUAGGAGAUACUAAGAAAAACAACCGUGGCCCAAUGUUCAGUUCUGAGCAAAAUAAUUCAGAGACAUUGGAGCCUUUUCUUCCUCCCUUACAGGAACAAAGGGAAAGCCUUAAGCAGAAGGAAAGCAGAGAACUGUAUCUGCAAAACAGGUUCACUUCUCAUUCAGCCAUUCUGCGACUUCACAUUAAGCUUUGCAAAACACGCCCACCAUUGACCGCUCAGGUUUCCACCAGACACGAAUUAAGAAGGAGCUGGUUGGCCCAAAAUGGGAAGCCAUAAUUGCUUUCCCAAUUAUUGGUUUCCCAAACGGACAGUUUAAAAUUAACUAAGACAAUUAUCACGUUUCUCGAGGUGGCAUACGUGCCUGGCCCUGCGAGUCGGAGGUCCCUGCGAGACGCUAUGUGCUUCAGGAAGGGGAAAGGAGAGGGCCACUGAGCAGGAAAGAAGAAGAGCAGGGCACACCUGAGUCUGUCUGCCCAGCUCUGGGAAAGCCUGAAAAAAUAGUUAAAAACCAGUGUGAUAACUAAGGUAGCAGGUAAAUUCAUUAAACUACAGGCAAUUUUGGCUCUUAUUUCUAAAACACUGCUAACUGUAAUCAUAAGCUGUAAUUAGUGAGUGUCAUCACAUCAGGUGAUCCUACUGCAGUGGCUGAAGCUUUGAAAUCUCACAUCAAGGUAUUUUCUAUGGUCUUUCUAUGAACAUCUAUCUUCCCUGAAAUAACCAUUUCUUUCUGUUGUAGAUGUAAAGAAGGUAAUAGAAACUAAUGGAAAAGUAUCUGCUGUCUUUGCUGACCGUCACUUUGAUUCCGUCUACAUUAAGAAGCUGCACACCACAGCUCUAGGUUUAAAUACUUUAAUACAGCCUUGUGUAUGGACUCUGCUGUGGGCAGAAAUAUCCACCUGCUCUGCAGCUGACAAAUUUUCUGUAUAAGUAAAAUACAUAUUAGGAAUCUACGUUAACGUUUUAUCUCCUUGAUUUCAACAACUUCAAGACCACUACUGAAGAUGUACGAGAAGCUCUAUUUCUAUCCAUUUUCUACUGGCUUGGCAUCAGUAAGAAUGGCAGUGGUUUCAAAAGGAUGGAGAAACACCAUCACUUCUCCUAUAAUCUCAUUCAGGAUUAAGCAAGCAGAGCUCCCCAAAUCCAGGCAUCUGAGAGGCAGUGGAGAACUUCCCACACGCAGCAAUAAGAUGUUGGUUGGAAACCCGCCUCACUGGCUCGAAGUAAGAACACUCAUCUGGUCUGUCUGCAUCUGAAAGCUCUUUGUGUGGACCAAGAUCAUAGCAGUGUAUCUAGUGAAAAAAGAGAUCAGCUUUACUUUCAAGAUCUCUUGCAUAUCAGAUACAGAGAGGUGUGAGAUUUCUCAGGCCAAAAGCAAUUGCCCCAGUUUGGAAGCAGCCAGCAGAGAUAAGAGACUUGAGAUCGCAGAUCCCUUCAAAGGUUGCAAAAAUGUAAUCCAUUUGCCUGAGCAUCACAGUGGAAAAUAAGGACCUUUGCCUAUUUUUUUUUUUAUGAAUGACGACAUUUUGGUGAAAUCAGACUACGGUAGUUCACAUACACAUCCAAUUUCUGAAUGAAAUCAGGCACUGAGGAUAAAAGAUUCAAGGGUCAGAGCUGAUCCCCAGAGCUUAGAGCCUAGAGGACACGUUACAUGAUCAGUAAUAUGUACUCAUUCUUGUCUCUAACUUGUUUCAAGUCAGGACAUGGAGAGCAUGGCCCUCCAGAGGAGAUGAGAACGUAAGGAGUGUUGCCACCAGUUCAGAUGUUCUCUCAAAGCUAUGUUUGGCUCCAGACAAAAACAUUAACAGUUUCCCUGUUCAGAGUAGGAAAGGUGCCAACAGAGAAACUUAUUUUUAGGUCUGACUGCACAGCAAAGUGGUAUCACAGUUCCAUCUCAGUACCCCUGCAGGCAACGGAAUAACAUGAGCAGAAACGUGCAGAGGCCAAACGUGACCUCUGCUUCCUCAGUCUCUCUAGACACAAACCCUCUGGCAAACUGGAUGGACUGAACAUGCCUCACGGGAGAAGAGCCUUCACUAAGAACAUGAAGAAUGAAUCCCGAAGUUCUGUGCACAGACCAUUCAGCCAAAGAGAUGCUGUCCCCAAAAGGAGGAAGGCUUGCUCCCUUCCCUCCCUUUCCUUUUCUUCCUUCAUGCCCUAGCUGGGACGUAUCAUCUCUUCCCUUGCACUGUCAGGAUGCUGUACUGGUUGCCGGCUGUUUUGGCAAGUUCAGGUAGCCCACUGCAGCAUGCAACAAGUUCUAACAGGAGCCCAAGGAGACCAGUGCAUCACUGGGAGCUGGAGGAAGAAAGGACAGAAGGGAAAAGGACGCUUUACCCCUUCUGGUACUAAUGAAACAGGUCAGCUUGACAUGGCAAGCUGCAGGUAAAAACCAGAGCCCCACCCCAAAGGAAGCAGUGGGAAGAACACGGGCAGAAGAAGCCACUUCUCCCCUGGCCUGAAGAAAGAAGAACAGAUGUCUACAACACCACUGGCCACACAUCCAGAAGCAAAUCCCUAGCAGCCUCAGUUUCACCAUUAUUAACUGUCCUGCUUUUCCCAUCCAGCUCCGUGCCAGAUGAGCCCUGUGCAGCAGUGAGCCACGAGCUAGAGAGGCAUGGCUGCUCACCUGGACGGUCAGAGCAAUGACUGCUCCACAGUGGGAGUUGGUUCUGAUGUUUUCCUUAGGCAGCACUUACAUUAAACACAAUUACACAAAGAAGAGACUUCUAAUAAAAUACACUUUCAAAAACGUUUUCAAUUCAAAGCCAGAUCUUUUGGCCAUUUCAAAGGCACAGGGAUGUAUGUACAAAAGAUCAAGUUGGCCCAAAUGCUGAGCUCACCAAAUUCAAAAAGCCCAGCUCACCGAAGGUUUCCAUACAACGUUCUCUCUGUCAGUAUGAUGCAGGCGUUCACCACUUGAUCUGCUGAAGCAGAAAAUUUCCUAAGUAACCAACCCAUCUUAUGACUGCUUGUCAUAACUGCAUUGCCUAUCUAAAGUUCAAGUAAGCUUUUAUCCACUGUGUUAAAAAAUACAUUCAAGAUGGUAAAACGAUGAGCUGUGUAAUUUCACACUUCGGUAUCCAAUCACUGAGGCGUUCUACCUGCUCUGAUUCUGUGUCCAGUGAUGUUAAGUGCCUCUGGUAGUCUGAAGCUGUACUUAAAGAUCAGAAGGACUGACGGUGAGAGGUUUUAAGAGACUAAUGGAUGCACACCCGUGGUUAUGUAAUUGGGCUCAAAUUCCAAGUCUGUUUAACUAGCGGGAUUUUUCCAUCAGCUUCAGCCGGGUCAGGAUUUUAGGGAAGUUUGACUCUUAUCUUUGGCAAAAACAGCAGUGAAAAGAUACGUAUUUUUAUCCAAAGUUCGAGCAACAGGAGUUGUUCAGUUUCCUGUCUUCGUUAGUUUUGUUGUCAAACAACAAAUACCACCCACACAUGUACUUUCUCAUACAAUGAGGCAAACGUCACCACAGCCAUCACUUCAGACUGGAAAGUCUGGCAAGUUGCCCAAAAGGUGAAAGUGAUCAAACUGCAGAUUGUUCAUCAGCACUGGCAGCGUUCAAUGCUGACACGCUCUGCUCUGCAACGCGCUGCAGUUAGAUGUCACCACCAGACCAGGAACUCUACGCUGAGCACCACAGAAGAUAACACGCACUCUUUUUAUGUACGCUCUUUCUAUUCACUUUGUAUUUCCUGUUCAGUCUUCACAAAUAAAUACAAACACUAAUAACAGUUUCUCUUUUAGUCCUCAGCAUCCUUUUGGCUGACCUCGAGCACUAGUCAAGCUGCUUGCUAUUUUUAGUUAAGUCAUUCAAUAAAUCACUUGAAAGUAUUAUGAAUGCUCAAGGUUAAUGAAGAGAAAGCCAACAGGCACUUUCAUACUGAGGAAAAAAACUAACUCCAUCCUUGCUCGACUCACAGCAAUGCUUACAGAGGGCAGAACAGUGCAGGGACAGGUAGGGCAUAAGUCCAUGCCACCAUACUUCUCACGGAAUGCAUUACACAUAUUGAGGACCACAUCACGAAAAGCACUUUUUCAAUAUUGAGUUUGCAGGCGCAAAGAGCGAGCAGCACACACCUACCAGCAAUACGUACUGCCUCCCUGGUGGCAACCCACUGAUCACUCCUACCAGCCUCACUGGGCGCUGAGAACGGUCCCACAAACACAGAUGAGAGCUGCCAGAGGCUCCAGCACACCUCAUUCGUCACACGUAGUUACAGUUUGCACACACCGUUCCUUUUAAGGGCAAAGUGGUUAUCCUUGGUCAGUGUCCAACAAACAACAAAAAAAUAAACCUCAUCAAAAAUUCCCAGCAAAUUGCUCCCAUUCGUUCUUUAUUAUGGGAGACUGAGGAAAAAGAAUACCAUCUUACAACUGCACCAUUCUCAUCACUGCCUCCACUAAUCCAUGCUACGCCCAAGCUUUUCUAUUUGUAAUAAAGAGGAAAAACCCAAGUCUACCUGGGCAGCUUCCACACUGUCAUCAGCCAGGCUUUCAGUCAAGGUCAAUAUUUACUUACUUACAAAAACACAGCGGAGCUGCUGGUGUUAAUAAAUCUGUAUUGUCUUAAUUUACUUGUCCUCCACAGCCUAUCAGUACCCAUCUCUUCUCUCUUCAACCCUACAGCAACAAGCAGAGCAGCACUGUGCUUGCCCUGUGCAGCCCACCAUAGCAGGAGCCUGCUCCCAGGCCAGCGUGCGAGUUCAGUAUUACACAGAUGUUUCUACAGAAGCAAGUUACUACCAUCACUAGUGUGAGAGAAAACUCUCCUGCUCACUCUUAGGUUAGCAUGCAAGUCCAUGCAGUGUUUUUGAGACCUCACCAUCACAAAGUGAAGCCACUAUUUAAUGGCAAAUUGCAUUUUGCAAAUUGCCAGUUCAAAUACACUGGCAUGCACACAGGAAAGCUAAAUUAAAUAGCACUUGACUAAUCAAGCAACAAGUAGGUUUGUUCUGCCCAAGGUGAGCCUAUAAUUCAUUUAAAGAGUAAAUGUGGAUGUUUGAUUUAAAGGAUGACAAUGUAUUCACAGCUGGCUUUAGAAAAACGGUGGAGGAAAGGAGGUGAGAGAGAAUUGAAUGAAACAAAACAAAGCACAUAAAUAAGAGGAAACUAACUUCUUCCAAAGUUGGAAGAUUUUUCUUUCUCAUCUAAUUUCAAAAGGUUGGAGACCCAGAUGCAGCCAAAGCAGGAACUGCGCGUUGCAUAGUUUACCAUACAAGAUGAGCCUGUCCACUUGGCACCUUGGUGUUACUUGUUCUCUGAUACAUUUGAACGAAUCAGUUCUGGCAGUAUCAGCAAUGCUGGCAAUUUUGGCAUGGCCCCACAGGUUCAGAAGGUUUCCCAGGCUGCCCUCCCACCAGCUGCUUGCCUUGUAUGGCAUGCUCACACCCCUCCCAGCAUCAGGCUGGAGCAGCAGGAAAAAAGGAGAGGAGAAAAAAGGAGCCACCUCCAGUGCCCAGCCUCUUGAGAAUCCAGGUGGCUACACUGACACAAAGAAGCAAUCUCUCCCUCUCCCUUAUUCCCUCUCUCACGUUUAUUGUCCCCUUCCAAGACCUCAGAAAUCCAAGAAGUAAGACUUGACUUCAGAAGGUACUUCUUCCUAUCUCUCUCUACACUUUAGCGAUGGUCAGGAAGUGACUGCCACAGUGCAGCUGCACAGCGGACUUCUUUCCACUGAGAAAAACACAGCCACGAGGCCUGGCAGACCUCAGCCAGUGGACCAAACUCUCAGGCUCCUUUAAAAACUAUAUAUAAAUUCCAGUGCAGACUCUGUGACACAUUAUCACCAGCUCCAUGGAAGGAACUCUGCAAAGAGCCAGAGAUACCCCUAGACUCAAACGCCAUUCCACCAAGGGAAGUGUAUGUCAGCCGUCUAUGUGUGAGACAUUUCUACCUACACUAUGCACCAAAACAUUGCAUGCUUCUUUUUAACUGCAUUAUCUGGGAAGAGUACACUGCAAAAACAGCACCCAAAUGACUCUGCUUUUGAUUCUGACUGAAUCCUGAAGCAGGACGUCUCCUGAGAACCCUUUGCUCCUGGCCCCCACCUCUGAAGGCCAACUCAGGAAUCAGACCCCCCUCACCCCAUUCCAGCUCUCCAUUUGCCAGGGACCCACUCUGACUAACUGCGUGUGCUCCGUGCCAGGCCAUUACCCUCUCACAGUCCUGUGAUCAGGACUUCCGGUCUGCUUCUCUCGCUUUUAAUCUGUUGCUCCAAACUUGCUUGAAAGAACCCUUAGACUGAGCUUUAUGCACUGCUAUCCUAUCAACCCACAAAGAAAUGCACAGAAACAAUUUUGUUUCUCUAAACUGUUACAGUAUUUUUCUUAGUUUACAGUGCUGAAAGAAAAAAUGGAGCAGGUCAGGAGGGUUAGAAAUACUCUUCCAAAGCCAUAAGUGCAUACGUACUUAUGGACCCACAGCGCUGCUGAGGACCUCAGUUUGUUAUGAGUAGUGACAGCAGUGAUCUCAUCUAUGAGGGAGAUUUACCUUCCAGGGAGGUAAAUACACACAAGCACAAUGCUCUCGUAUGAACAUAUAGACUGAAGUAAGAGAGACAAAUACCAGCUGCCUUAAUUUAUAUUGACAUACAGACACAAACAGUGUGCUGUGGACUGGCAAAAAGAACGAUGCAUGCAGCUGACCCGUGCUGCACACAGGUUACAGCCAUGUCACCCAGCUGCUGGUCUCAUCUGCUGUGCCCUGCUGGAGAGCCUCACGCCUUGUCCUACAAGCUGCCUUCCCCAAGCCCCCUCCAGCACUCAGUACCACGGUAGCCAACAGCCCAGGGAAGCAGCAGGACGCUGUGCACGAGCCGACGUGCUCGGCCACCAGGCAAAGUACUGGGGGUUCUGCAGCACCGAGCAGCCCGGGAUCACGCCUAUCCCUGGGCGGGACUGGCUCAUGGAACCCAGGCAGUCGCUGCGUCCUGCUGUAUCAAUCCUGCUGGGACUGUGCAGCAGCCGCUGCUGUUCUCCUUCUGUGUGCUUCUACUGGGGGUACAUGGGAGACCGCAGGGUAACAUGGCACAGCCACACCGCUGCUCCUCCGCUCCAGCUUUUACUGCUUUAUACCCUGAUAGUGCCUGCAAGCAAAGCUUGCACGACACAAAGCUGGGGAUAUUCUGCUUGGAAAACCACACGUUCUUCCUCAAGGCUUCAGGAAAACACUGCUCUGUGACCACCUCACCUGCUGAUCCCAGAACUGCUUCCACCAGGGCCAUCAGUCAGCAUGCAAGCUGCCAGCAGCACCAAGCACUAAUUGCUGCGCACAGGCACUGGUAAGGGUGUGCUUGAGCAUGGCUGACAGCAGCAAGCAGAUAUGCUGCAGUGUGUAUUUUGCUGGACUGCCCAUAAUCCUCACCUGGGCCAUCUGCUUUUUUCUUCUUCCUUUCUUUCCCCCAUUCCCCCCGUAAGGAAAGAAUGCAUUUCUUGGUUUAUUUUAUUUUCUUUAGUCUCUGAAUAGUUUUGUCCAUGAAUGCCAGUUUUUAUCACUAGAGGCAAGAUCCCCUCUGCUCCCAUAUCCUCCCCAGACCAACACUGUGCUACACUCCCUUGCCUUUAAAAAAGUCUGGCGCCAAUCAGAGCUAAAAAGCUCUCAAUUUUCUGCUCACUUAAUCACAUUUUUCAAAACAUAACCUGCUCAAGUAGUCACUUACUUCUCAUUUUUUAGUUUGCAACAAAUCUAUUUGUUUGAGCCUUAGUAUUCAGACCAGCACGUAAUCACGUGUGUUCCACUUCUCUCAUAAUCCCAGGCAUUUGAGACCCUGCCAACUUCUUUAUUCGGGAACCUGCCUCCUCCACACCCCCUUUCUAAACUUUGCAUUUGUUUUGCUUUAUAGUGAUCAUUGAAGUUCUCACUCCAGCUGGGAGGACAGUCAGGCACCUUCAAGAACAAGGGAAUGAUUGACAAUAUUAGGCAGAAAAUUUUCUACCAGAUGCUGCUCGAAAGGAGAGGUGGCAACCUUCUGACCCCCUCUUCAAUGAGGAAAAUCAGCGCUUCUGCGACAUCCCUCUGCCCCAAUCAUCAAUUGAGCGGGGAGCACAAGGUCACUUCUGUGUCUGGCUGUUGUGCAGUAAAAUUCCACCCUGUAGACACGGCUAUGCUUUCUGCUUGAAGGAGGUUCCAGUGCCAGCCAUGCAUUGGAAUGAAGCAGCAAAAUUCAUCAGCUAUUAAGCAUCGCUUUUCUCAGUUACUGCUCUGAAACAUUUAUGAGUUCUGAAUAAUCUUACCAGUAUGGAAGGGAAUUCUGGAUGUUCCAUCCUUGGACUGUGAGAGAAUGAAUAUCGGUAAGGCAUGGCUUUUUUAAACCCCCUCACCAAUGUUUUUUAUAAUUAACUAUUCCAACAAGUAAUUUUGCAAAACUUACACUUUUAUAUCUCUCAAAACGUUUUGUUUCCCAGAAAAAAAAAAAAAAA
Molecule: long non-coding RNA, 16958 nt
Organism: Numida meleagris (helmeted guineafowl)
Lineage: Eukaryota; Metazoa; Chordata; Aves; Galliformes; Numididae
Exons: 2
Source: RefSeq, a predicted model, not a curated record